AACGGCGAGUGAAGCGGCAAAAGCUCAAAUUUGAAAUCUGGCUCCUUUGGGGCCCGAGUUGUAAUUUGCAGAGGAUGCUUCGGGCGUGGCCGCGGUCUAAGUCCCCUGGAACGGGGCGUCGCAGAGGGUGAGAAUCCCGUCUUCGGCCGGCCGGCUUCGCCCAUGUGAAGCUCCUUCGACGAGUCGAGUUGUUUGGGAAUGCAGCUCUAAAUGGGUGGUAAAUUUCAUCUAAAGCUAAAUAUUGGUCGGAGACCGAUAGCGCACAAGUAGAGUGAUCGAAAGAUGAAAAGCACUUUGAAAAGAGAGUUAAACAGCAUGUGAAAUUGUUGAAAGGGAAGCGCUUGCGACCAGAGUCGGCCGUGGGGGUUCAGCGGGCAUUCGUUGCCCGUGCACUCCCCCACGGGCGGGCCAGCGUCGGUUUCGACGGCCGGUCAAAGGCCCCCGGAAUGUGUCGCCUCUCGGGGCGUCUUAUAGCCGGGGGUGCAAUGCGGCCAGUCGGGACCGAGGAACGCGCUUCGGCACGGACGCUGGCUUAAUGGUCGUAAGCGACCCGUCUUGAAACACGGACCAAGGAGUCUAACAUCCACGCGAGUGUUCGGGUGUCAAACCCGUCCGCGCAGUGAAAGCGAACGGAGGUGGGAACCCUUAAGGGUGCACCAUCGACCGAUCCUGAAGUCUUCGGAUGGAUUUGAGUAAGAGCGUGGCUGUUGGGACCCGAAAGAUGGUGAACUAUGCCUGAAUAGGGUGAAGCCAGAGGAAACUCUGGUGGAGGCUCGCAGCGGUUACUGACGUGCAAAUCGAUACGUCGAAUUU
Molecule: ribosomal RNA, 813 nt
Filed under: Blastomyces dermatitidis
Lineage: Eukaryota; Fungi; Ascomycota; Eurotiomycetes; Onygenales; Ajellomycetaceae
Description: eukaryotic LSU rRNA
Rfam family: Eukaryotic large subunit ribosomal RNA
Source: RNAcentral